AGGGAAAUGAGUGACUGUAUGGCCGUUGCUUUUUAAGUUUCAAACAGAUUUUCCAGGCCGGCUGUGCCUGAACCCGUGGCUGUCUCCUGGCCGUUGCUGCCCGCUCCUGGAAGGUGGAGCCACCAGCCUCUCCCUGGAAGGCUCUGCAUAUGAAACCUUGGGCCCACAUCUGGAUUGCUAAGUGCAAGCACACACCAGGAAGCUGGUUUUCCAACCGGCUCACCUGGGCGACGUUCUCCCCGGGGUGUUGGAGUCCACGGGCAUCGCCUCUUGGAAAGCCCAGCAUUUUGCUGCCACUAGCAAACGAAGCCUUGGGGAAAAGUAAUGAAGGCUGCAGGCGUUCGUGACGGACUCGCUCCUGUCUACGGGACAUUGGGGAGAAGAUGCCGGAUAAAACAAUAUAGCAUGUGAAGAAAUAAAUACAGACGGUCCCCAGUGGCCGAGAGUGUCAGGACAAGGACUGCGCGUAAGACAAGCUGUGCUCUCAGCAGCCUGCGACCCACGGAGAGCCCUUUGGAGAAGGGGGGGCGGGGCUGCCCUGAGCAGCAUUCCCGAGACCUAAGAAAGGGCUCUGCUCCCGGAGUGUUUGGGGUGCACACACCACCCUGUGUGAAUGGCUUUCCUUAUCCCCCAACGUCUCAGGGCCUUUUACACGGUGCAUUAUCUCUUGGGGAGGGAUGGAGUACUUCAAGACCAUGUACCCCUCUCCUUUUCACAGUUUUGUGCCAUUAACAAAAGUCAGGAAAUGGGGGAGGUGGGGGAGCUGAUCUUCCUGGUGAGCUCAGGGCUGCAUCUGGGCAGGUGGCAGGUGGAGAGGACAGCAGGCUCCAGGGAGCUCAGAGUAGUCAGGGGCAGAGCUGGUCCCCUCCCCAGCCAUCAGGGGUGGCUGCAGAGAGAACAUGGCAAGAGUAGCCGACAGGCUGGAGUGGGGCCCCCCUCCCAGGACAGUGCUGUCUCCCUCCCCGAAAGGCCUCUGAGGAGCAGACGGAAGCACGAGGCUGGCUGGUCGGUCACAGCGUGGGCUUUGUGCUGAUGCGGCUGCCUGCAUUUCAGUCGCCCCCCUGUCUGUCUCUGGAAGAAUCUUUCCACUUGUUUGGGGAAAUUAGCUUGUGGCAAACGGGGUUUACCAGCUCCGUGGUCCUUGGAGCUGCUCUCAGGCUGUGCGGUCCUCGGGGUGUUUGUUUGGUCAGGAGCUUCCCCGCCUCGCUGGGGCUGAGGACACAGCUCGUCUGCUAGAUGCUUUCAUGCAUGGAUCCCCGGGAGCCAUCUCUCCUGGGCUGGGGAAAGGGACGGGGAAUGGAAAGUCAGGGCCAUCCUCCUAGGUUACCCUCAGGGACAGCAACUCCACAGGGACCUCCUUUCACUCUCUUUGGACCUGGGAGUAGGAUCGGGGCAUCAUCUGGGCAAACAGAUGAUGGAAGUCCUGUGUGAGUCUCCACGAGGCCGAGGCCGACAGGGACACAAGAGGAAGAGCCUCCGUUGCCCCAGGAUAGACCUUGACCCAGAGUCUGACCUCAACUUGUCAGUAAGCAGGCAGUGGGCUUCUGGGAACUUCUGCCUUUUCAGUCCCUUCUGAAUUAUUUUUAAACGAUGCCCCGCCCUCCAUCACCACCCGCAAUUUUGGUCGAUUGUCACUAUUUGAACAGAUGCUGAUAAAUUUGAUCCCCAGCUCUGUGGCAUUUACGAUCUCUUUCCCUUUUCGGUUUCCACGUACUAGAGUGGCUAUCUCUCAGUGUGGUUGGCAGUGACCUGUGUUUUUCAUAUAUGUUUUUGUUUCAGAAUAACUGGGAGAUGAAACAGGAAGCUCUAUGACACACUUGAUCGAAAAUGACACAGACCAAAAAAAAAAAAAAAAAAUCAGGACUCAGCCCCAUUCCAGCGCCUCUACCUGCUGCCUGCUGCCCACGCCGGGAUGAGGUGGCAGGUCUGCCCUGGACCUGACUGAGGUGCGGACUUCAAGGGCCUCUGCAUUUGCUGAUAUGUGUCUGCAGUAUUAUGUCAUGGUCUCGUCUGGCUGGUUUCCUAUGUAUCUGGCUGUCUCUAUGUGUCUUACUCCCUUUUUCUUCAUUAAAAGCAACAUUUUUUAAAAAUGAA
This is a long non-coding RNA of Myotis daubentonii (Daubenton's bat), 2094 nucleotides long. RefSeq lists it as uncharacterized. The record is from RefSeq and is a predicted model, not a curated record. Lineage: Eukaryota; Metazoa; Chordata; Mammalia; Chiroptera; Vespertilionidae.